CCACCAGACCCUAUUAAUAGAUAGAUAGCAGUUACUCGUUCAUCCAAAUGCUUCAGCCACCCCUUCUUCCUCUCUCCUUUUUUUUUUCCUCCAUCUUCUUGCUUCUUCCCUCUACUUUCCACGACCAACAUUGAUUUCAAGAAGGGACGAUUUGAAAUCCUCCCCCUUUCUGGUUCUUUCCUGCUCUCAGAGAGUGGUGGUCAACGUAGUGGAGGUGUGGCUGGGCUUGUAAGCGCAGCCUCUCCUGCUCAGAUUACAAAUGCCAAGAAAGAAAUAUAAUCAGGGAAGGAAGGAAGGAAAAGAGAGAGAGAGAGAGAGAGAGAGAGAGAGAGAGAGAGAGAGAGAGAAGAGAGAGGAGAUACGUUAUUUUCAAGAGAGAGAAAUGAGAGAUUUUGGAAUGUGUGAGAUAAGCAUCAUGGACGGCUAAAUCACAGCUCAAAGCCCACCGGAUUCUGAAUUAGGUUAUUUUCAACGAACUCCCUUAUUGUGGCACCCUCUUCAUUCUGGGAGACCCCUUGGUUUUUGGAUCAUAGUGCCCCACUAUCCCUUGAAUUAGCCACGUAGACAGUGGCCUUUCUGGAGAGAGGCCAGAAAGAGAAAAUUCCGGGACCGGUUGUUUUCGGUGUAACCUGGGGUGGUGUGGUUCAUCAUAGCCAAUACAGAUAUGGUUUAUGUAAUAAGUUUCCCAACUCCAAUUGGUUUAGUGGCAUAUGUUUUCCUUAAUGUACCAUUGUGAGUUACAGUAGCAGUAGCAGAGUUGAGUUAGAGAUGAUUUGUUCAGGUUCAACCCUUCUGCCCCACAAUUUUUUUAAUAUUAAAAAAAAUAAUAAUAAUAAUAAAAAAAAAAGCAAAGACCUACAUGGCUGGUUACACAGUAGCCUAUCUUUUUAUUUAUUUUUUAUUUAUAUAUUAAUUUCAUUUUUUUUAUUCGUACUUACACUUGCUUCAACUGCACAGUACCCUAAAAUUGUUGUUUAAACUAAAAUUGUGUUAUUUAUUUUAAUUGUCUUUUUUUAUCCUAUAGGAUAUAUUUGGCGCUAGAACUGAUCCCACAAGUAUACACUUCUAGAAUGGACGAUGGUAGAAAUUUUAAAGCAUCCAGAAGUAAUGAAAGAAGUUCAAGAGGAAGUAAGGGGGGUCACAAGGGGCAAAGAGAAUAUUGCAAAUGUUGAUAUAAAACAAAUGCAUUAUUUGAAUGCAGUGAUUAAGGAGACACUAAGACUGCAUCCUCCACUCCCUUUAUUGACUCCGCGUAAAUUGACAGAAAAUGUCAAUAUACAAGGGUUUGAUGUUCCAACCAACACAAUGGUAAUAAUCAAUGCAUGGGCCAUUGGAAGGGACCUGUGUCCUGGGAUGAACCUGAGAAGUUCAAACCAAAGAGGUUCUUGAAUGAUGCCUCUGUUGAUUUUAAUGCCCAUGUUGAUUUUAAUUAAUUCCAUUUGGGAUAGGCAGGCGAGGAUGCUCAGGAGCUCAAUUCGCUUUUGGCAUUGUUCAACUUGUAAUCGCUAAUCUUUUGCACAAGUUUGACUUGGAGAUUGAGUGGGCAGGACUUGAAUAUUACGGAAGCUACCGGAAUAUCAAAUCAUUUAAACUAUCCUCUUCAAGUUCUUGUUACUCCGAAGAAUAUUUGUGGCCCACUUAUCAUUUGUAAUGACCCACAUAAAUAGAUUUUUUUUUUCCUAGUAAUGAGAUAUUUGUAAAUUCUUAUAUAAAUCCAUGUGAUAUUAUUAGUGCUUC
Macadamia integrifolia is the source of this 1737-nucleotide long non-coding RNA. RefSeq lists it as uncharacterized. Lineage: Eukaryota; Viridiplantae; Streptophyta; Magnoliopsida; Proteales; Proteaceae. The transcript has 3 exons. The record is from RefSeq and is a predicted model, not a curated record.